Molecule: non-coding RNA, 127 nt
Filed under: Furfurilactobacillus siliginis
Lineage: Bacteria; Bacillati; Bacillota; Bacilli; Lactobacillales; Lactobacillaceae
Description: Lactobacillus siliginis Enterococcus sRNA 68 (Lacto-3 RNA)
Rfam family: Enterococcus sRNA 68 (Lacto-3 RNA)
About the family: Name 'Ref' stands for RNA in E. faecalis.
Source: Rfam by way of RNAcentral
UGCGAUGAGUCGAGAUAUGUCAGGCGGUAUUUAUACCGUCCCUCUGCGGAGGCUAGUGACAAUUCGAAGUCAGAGGCACGCAUUUCCGACGCAUUCGGAGUGCUUGAUCGUUUAUGUUGUGGAACAU